This 252-nucleotide ribosomal RNA is filed under the name uncultured bacterium. RNAcentral's name for it is "partial 16S ribosomal RNA". It matches the Rfam family "Bacterial small subunit ribosomal RNA", at positions 524 to 776 of the family's 1533-position model. The record is from RNAcentral.
UACGUAGGUGGCAAGCGUUGUCCGGAUUACUGGGCGUAAAGAGCGCGCAGGCGGUCGGAUAAGUCGAAUGUGAAAGCCCCCGGCUCAACUGGGGAGGGUCAUUCGAUACUGUUCGACUCGAAGGCAGGAGAGGGAAGUGGAAUUCCCGGUGUAGUGGUGAAAUGCGUAGAUAUCGGGAGGAACACCAGUGGCGAAGGCGACUUCCUGGCCUGUUCUUGACGCUGAGGCGCGAAAGCUAGGGGAGCAAACGGG